RNAcentral lists this ribosomal RNA (253 nucleotides) under uncultured Lactobacillus sp. RNAcentral's name for it is "partial 16S ribosomal RNA". It matches the Rfam family "Bacterial small subunit ribosomal RNA", at positions 524 to 776 of the family's 1533-position model. The record is from RNAcentral. Lineage: Bacteria; Bacillati; Bacillota; Bacilli; Lactobacillales; Lactobacillaceae.
UACGUAGGUGGCAAGCGUUAUCCGGAUUUAUUGGGCGUAAAGGGAACGCAGGCGGUCUUUUAAGUCUGAUGUGAAAGCCUUCGGCUUAACCGGAGUAGUGCAUUGGAAACUGGGAGACUUGAGUGCAGAAGAGGAGAGUGGAACUCCAUGUGUAGCGGUGAAAUGCGUAGAUAUAUGGAGGAACACCAGUGGCGAAGGCGACGAUCUGGGCUGCAACUGACGUUCAGUCCCGAAAGCGUGGGGAGCAAAUAGG